Molecule: ribosomal RNA, 514 nt
Filed under: uncultured bacterium
Lineage: Bacteria
Description: bacterial SSU rRNA
Rfam family: Bacterial small subunit ribosomal RNA
Source: RNAcentral
GACAAACGCUGGCGGGGUGCAUGAGACAUGCAAGUCGAACGGGGUGCCAUCGGGCUUGCUCGAUGGCUACCUAGUGGCGGACGGCUGAGUAACGCGUAGGUGACCUACCCGGAAGUGGGGAAUAACUGCCCGAAAGGGUGGCUAAUACCGCAUGUGGUCGGCGACUCGAUUCGCCGUCUAAAGGAGAAAUCCGCUUCCGGCGGGGCCUGCGUCCGAUUAGCUAGUUGGUGGGGUAACGGCUCACUAAGGCGACGAUCGGUAGCUGGUCUGAGAGGAUGAUCAGCCAGACUGGGACUGAGAACGGCCCAGACUCCUACGGGAGGCAGCAGUCGGGAAUUUUGCCCAAUGGACGAAAGUCUGAGGCAGCAACUCCGCGUGAGGGACGAAGGCUCUCGGGUCGUAAACCUCUUUUCUCAGGGAAGAUCCAAGACGGUACCUGAGGAAUAAGCGACGGCUAACUACGUGCCAGCAGCCGCGGUAAUACGUAGGUCGCAAGCGUUGUCCGGAUUUACGU